UACGUAGGGUGCAAGCGUUAAUCGGAAUUACUGGGCGUAAAGCGUGCGCAGGCGGUUCGCUAAGACAGAUGUGAAAUCCCCGGGCUUAACCUGGGAACUGCAUUUGUGACUGGCGGGCUAGAGUAUGGCAGAGGGGGGUAGAAUUCCACGUGUAGCGGUGAAAUGCGUAGAUAUCUGGAGGAACACCGGUGGCGAAGGCGGCAUCCUGGACCAAUUCUGACGCUGAGGAGCGAAAGCCAGGGGAGCAAACGGG
RNAcentral lists this ribosomal RNA (253 nucleotides) under uncultured bacterium. Its description in RNAcentral is "partial 16S ribosomal RNA". It matches the Rfam family "Bacterial small subunit ribosomal RNA", at positions 524 to 776 of the family's 1533-position model. The record is from RNAcentral.